UGGGGAAUAUUGGACAAUGGGCGAAAGCCUGAUCCAGCAAUGCCGCGUGAGUGAUGAAGGCCUUAGGGUUGUAAAGCUCUUUUACCAGGGAUGAUAAUGACAGUACCUGGAGAAUAAGCUCCGGCUAACUCCGUGCCAGCAGCCGCGGUAAUACGGAGGGAGCUAGCGUUGUUCGGAAUUACUGGGCGUAAAGCGCGCGUAGGCGGCGUAUCAAGUCAGGGGUGAAAUCCCGGGGCUCAACCCCGGAACUGCCCUUGAAACUAGUAUGCUAGAAUCCUGGAGAGGCGAGUGGAAUUCCGAGUGUAGAGGUGAAAUUCGUAGAUAUUCGGAAGAACACCAGUGGCGAAGGCGACUCGCUGGACAGGUAUUGACGCUGAGGUGCGAAAGCGUGGGGAGCAAACAGGAUUAGAUACCCCCGUAGUCC
RNAcentral lists this ribosomal RNA (424 nucleotides) under uncultured prokaryote. RNAcentral describes it as "bacterial SSU rRNA". It matches the Rfam family "Bacterial small subunit ribosomal RNA", at positions 355 to 796 of the family's 1533-position model. The record is from RNAcentral.